Molecule: ribosomal RNA, 606 nt
Filed under: Klebsiella pneumoniae
Lineage: Bacteria; Pseudomonadati; Pseudomonadota; Gammaproteobacteria; Enterobacterales; Enterobacteriaceae
Description: bacterial SSU rRNA
Rfam family: Bacterial small subunit ribosomal RNA
Source: RNAcentral
CCCCUGGACAAAGACUGACGCUCAGGUGCGAAAGCGUGGGGAGCAAACAGGAUUAGAUACCCUGGUAGUCCACGCCGUAAACGAUGUCGAUUUGGAGGUUGUGCCCUUGAGGCGUGGCUUCCGGAGCUAACGCGUUAAAUCGACCGCCUGGGGAGUACGGCCGCAAGGUUAAAACUCAAAUGAAUUGACGGGGGCCCGCACAAGCGGUGGAGCAUGUGGUUUAAUUCGAUGCAACGCGAAGAACCUUACCUGGUCUUGACAUCCACAGAACUUUCCAGAGAUGGAUUGGUGCCUUCGGGAACUGUGAGACAGGUGCUGCAUGGCUGUCGUCAGCUCGUGUUGUGAAAUGUUGGGUUAAGUCCCGCAACGAGCGCAACCCUUAUCCUUUGUUGCCAGCGGUUCGGCCGGGAACUCAAAGGAGACUGCCAGUGAUAAACUGGAGGAAGGUGGGGAUGACGUCAAGUCAUCAUGGCCUUACGACCAGGCUACACACGUGCUACAAUGGCAUAUACAAAGAGAAGCGACCUCGCGAGAGCAAGCGGACCUCAUAAAGUAUGUCGUAGUCCGGAUUGGAGUCUGCAACUCGACUCCAUGAAGUCGGAAUCG